Molecule: long non-coding RNA, 241 nt
Filed under: Dunaliella salina
Lineage: Eukaryota; Viridiplantae; Chlorophyta; Chlorophyceae; Chlamydomonadales; Dunaliellaceae
Description: long non-coding RNA (DSAL_LNC000115)
Source: RNAcentral
AGGAGCUUGAACAGCUGCGCAAUGUAAGGCUGGAGAACAUUGACCCUAUCACACCCUCGCCUACCUAGUCGUGGGCGCUCUACCACGGCAUGCUUUAUGAAAGGGGCAGCCACACAGUCAAACCCAGGCGAAGCUUGCGCGUUCAUCUUACUGAUCUGCUGAGCAACCAACCCCUGAAAUGUGGUAAGGUCAGGGGCAUCUACAACAUCUAGCUCCACGCCCACUCCUUCUCUCCGCUGCC